UUUUUUAUCUCGCGUGACGAGCGGUGUGUUUAAGGCAA
Molecule: ribosomal RNA, 38 nt
Filed under: Eimeria necatrix
Lineage: Eukaryota; Apicomplexa; Conoidasida; Eucoccidiorida; Eimeriidae
Description: small subunit ribosomal RNA
Source: RNAcentral